AGCCUUGAGGUGAUUAGUCAUAUUGAAUUGCAAAUUUAAAGGAGCAGCUUCAAUCCUGCCGGGGCUU
RNAcentral lists this transfer RNA (67 nucleotides) under Santamartamys rufodorsalis (red crested soft-furred spiny-rat). Its description in RNAcentral is "tRNA-Cys". Lineage: Eukaryota; Metazoa; Chordata; Mammalia; Rodentia; Echimyidae. The record is from RNAcentral.